CGGUGCCGCUCCCCCUAAGAUUACAUUUAGUCUUGUGGAUCGCCGCUGUCCCAUUUCUUGAAUAUUGGAAUUUUCACUUGUGGAAUUUUCUAAAUUUCUAGCCAUUGUAUUUCUCUUUCACAUUUUAUCAAAGAAUCUUUGCAAAUAAAAAUUUUUAAUAAUAAGAACGUACGAAAAAUAAUAAUGGACUAGUAAAUAGAGAAAAUAGAGAAAAAACCUUUUUGUGCGAUAGUCUUUUACGAGUGUGAAUCUCAACUCUCAAUGAAAGCACCAAUUUGUGGAUGCAAAUUUUCGCCUUCUUCUUCUUGGACAAAAUUGCACCUACAAAACAAUCAACACCUUUGGUCAAGGCCAAGAACCUCACGCGCCCACACUGAAUGGGGGGGUUUUUGCCGAAGAACCUCCGAUACUAAAGUUAGAAUUUAGAGAGAAAAUGUGUUUAGAGGAUUUUUGGGAGUUUUGCAAGAGUAUCAACUUAGCUUUUUAGAAGAAAUAGGGUCAUAUAUAUAGGGAAUGGGGUGUUAUUUGGUGAUUCAAUUAGCAAUUAAUAUAUUAAUUAGGUAUAAAUAUAUUAAUUGGC
RNAcentral lists this long non-coding RNA (580 nucleotides) under Malus domestica (apple). RNAcentral's name for it is "long non-coding RNA (MDOM_LNC016583)". Lineage: Eukaryota; Viridiplantae; Streptophyta; Magnoliopsida; Rosales; Rosaceae. The record is from RNAcentral.